UUAAGGGGUAUUAGGCUAAGAUUCAAAGGGAGAAAAGAGAGAUGAAAGAACUUGCAUAAGUUGAACUACAUUCAUCCACUUUCAAACAACAACUUUUCUUUUUCUUUUUUUCUUUUUCAGAAGGAAUAUGUAAUGACAUUCUUCUUUACUUUUUUCCACUUUUUUUCUUCUUCUUUUUCUACAUUUUUUUCUGCCAACUUUGAAUAAAAUAUCACAACUAUAGUUAUUCAACCACACACAACUCCAAACAAGACUCUUUCAACCCUAUGAAUGGAUGAUAACAUUGUUUUUCAUAUUCAGGCUUGUAAUGAAUUUAAA
This 318-nucleotide long non-coding RNA is filed under the name Lathyrus oleraceus (garden pea). Its description in RNAcentral is "Pisum sativum (pea) long non-coding RNA (PSAT_LNC042198)". The record is from RNAcentral. Lineage: Eukaryota; Viridiplantae; Streptophyta; Magnoliopsida; Fabales; Fabaceae.